This 487-nucleotide ribosomal RNA is filed under the name uncultured bacterium. Its description in RNAcentral is "partial 16S ribosomal RNA". It matches the Rfam family "Bacterial small subunit ribosomal RNA", at positions 899 to 1397 of the family's 1533-position model. The record is from RNAcentral.
ACUCAAAGGAAUUGACGGGGGCCCGCACAAGCAGCGGAGCGUGUGGUUUAAUUCGAUGAUACACGAAGAACCUUACCAGGGUUUGACAUGCACGUUGUAGUGAAGCGAAAGCAGAACGACCCUUCGGGGAGCGUGCACAGGUGCUGCAUGGCUGUCGUCAGCUCGUGCCGUGAGGUGUUAGGUUAAGUCCUAUAACGAGCGCAGCCCUUACUGCCAGUUACACGUGUCUGGCGGGACUGCCGGUCAUAAGCCGGAGGAAGGUGGGGAUGACGUCAAGUCAGCAUGGCCUUUAUAUCCUGGGCUACACACACGCUACAAUGGGUGGGAACAGAGGGCAGCCAAGCCGCGAGGCGGAGCCAAUCCCAGAAAACCAUCCUCAGUUCGGAUUGCAGGCUGCAACCCGCCUGCAUGAAGUUGGAGUUGCUAGUAAACGCGCGUCAGCCAUAGUGCGUUGAAUACGUUCCCGGGCCUUGUACACACCGCCCGU